UGCGCAGGCGGGCUUGUAAGUCAGUGGUGAAAUACUGCCGCUUAACGGUAGAACUGCCAUUGAUACUGCAAGUCUUGAAUAUGGUUGAGGUAGGCGGAAUGUGUCGUGUAGCGGUGAAAUGCAUAGAUAUGACACAGAACGCCAAUUGCGAAGGCAGCUUACUAAGCCAUUAUUGACGCUGAGGCACGAAAGCGUGGGGAGCGAACAGGAUUAGAUACCAUGGUAGUCC
This 229-nucleotide ribosomal RNA is filed under the name uncultured bacterium. RNAcentral's name for it is "partial 16S ribosomal RNA". It matches the Rfam family "Bacterial small subunit ribosomal RNA", at positions 568 to 796 of the family's 1533-position model. The record is from RNAcentral.